CGGACGAACGCUGGCGGGCGUGCCUAACACAUGCAAGUCGAGCGGAGAUAAGCGGAUGGUAACUGAAGCUUAUCUUAGCGGCGGACGGGUGAGUAACACGUGGGCAACCUGCCUUGAAGUGGGGGAUAACACCGGGAAAUCGGUGCUAAUACCGCAUAACAUACACAAACUGCAUGGUAAGUGUAUCAAAGGAGCAAUCCGCUUUAAGAUGGGCCCGCGGCUGAUUAGCUAGUUGGUGAGGUAAAGGCCUACCAAGGCGACGAUGCGUAGCCGACCUGAGAGGGUGAACGGCCACACUGGGACUGAGACACGGCCCAGACUCCUACGGGGGGCAGCAGUGGGGAAUCUUGCACAAUGGGCGAAAGCCUGAUGCAGCGACGCCGCGUGAGCGAAGAAGGCCUUCGGGUUGUAAAGCUCUGUCUGGAGGGACGAAGGAAGUGACGGUACCUCCGGAGGAAGCCACGGCUAACUACGUG
This 476-nucleotide ribosomal RNA is filed under the name uncultured bacterium. RNAcentral describes it as "bacterial SSU rRNA". It matches the Rfam family "Bacterial small subunit ribosomal RNA", at positions 27 to 507 of the family's 1533-position model. The record is from RNAcentral.